Molecule: long non-coding RNA, 928 nt
Organism: Phyllostomus discolor (pale spear-nosed bat)
Lineage: Eukaryota; Metazoa; Chordata; Mammalia; Chiroptera; Phyllostomidae
Exons: 3
Source: RefSeq, a predicted model, not a curated record
AUUUAGUUUGUUUAGAUUUGCACUAAACAACAUGUUAGGUGAACUUCACUGUUUCCUGUCUGAGCCUAAAGAGUGCUUCUCUAAUAUGUGCUAUGGCAGAUAGUUGUCUAUUCAACUUAAUGAUAAGCAUUUGUGUUAAGAAGUCAAAAGCCAUGUUAGAACAUAAGAAAGUUAUUUACAAAACAGUGACCCCACUUUUUUGGAGAGGGCAUCUCUAUUGCUCCUGGCAACAUCUGUCACCAUUGAACUUCCCUCACUUUUUGAGAUUUUUCCAGUCAAGGAACUGUUAGGUAAUUAAGAAAUGUCACUCUUUCUAAUUUUUUUCAGGGCUUAUGAAUUUACUUGUUUAAUUUAACAGUAGUAAUAAAAACAGCUGUCAUUGUUUUAAUAUUUUAACAUUUAUCUGCAAUGCAUCAUGAAUUUAUAAAACACAGUUCCCCUUUUCCCAGACUAUAAUCUUAGAAUUCCAUUCUUAGCCUAAUGGAAAAAUCAUGUGACUGGGUUUUUGUCUGGCUCUGUAAAUAUCACUCAAUCCUAAUUUAAAGUGUCACUGAACUUUGCAGGCAUCAAAUAACAGAUUUGUAUCUAUAAAAGAAAAUAGCUCUUUGUUUCCAGAAUUAAAAAAAUAAACUUCUUGCCAAUAAUACAUUUUCUAAAGGUUUGGAUACUUAAAGGUAGAAUCAAGGACAUAUGGGAUCACUAUCUUUUCAUGUUCUUCAAAAAGAAUAUGGUGAUUAAACUCAGUGAAUUUUAUUUUUUAGCGCUGAUCUAAGAUCUCACAGCUUUAAAUUUAAGUAGGUCAAAAUUUGGAAGGAACUUUGUUCUGUCAACAUUUAUAUAUUCCAAAUACCCAAAGCAUUAAAAAAGGUUCUCAAAAAGUAUUUUUUCUUGCCCUGGUCGGGUGGCUUAGUUAGUUGGAGCACUGUCC